GAGGAGCGGAAGUGCGCCAACUGACAAAUGACUGCUCUCAGGUAGUCCCGGGCUUUCCUCCAGUGAUUAACGCGACUCUGGGGCCUCAGUGCGCAUGCGAGCAGGUGGCCCCGCCCCUUUGCCCGCGUUCGCGUCUCUCAUGCUGCCCGCCCGUUUCACGUCUAGGCUGCUAUGCAGGGUCCUGCGGGGAUCCGCUCUCAUGGUAGUACGCCAUGGCCUCCGGGAGGCGCUUCUGGAGAGAAGAUGCGCCGCCGGCUGCUCCCAGCGCCCAUCGGGCCUGGGUCGUGGGCCUCCCUGUGGCCCGACAGCGACUGGGGGUUACAAGGGAAGUGCUGACAUGGAGGAGCAUUUUCUGUUCCCCGAGUACGUCCCGGAGCCGGAGCCCGCACUGAGCCUCCAACACCAGCUGCAGGAGCUGCAGCAGCGGCAGGAGGAAGAGGAGCAACAGAGGCAACAGCGGCGGGAGGAGCGGCGGCUACGGAAGCUAAGGGCGAGCGGGCGAGUGCACCCGGUGGUGGGGCACCCGGACCCGACGGUGCCGCCUAGCGGCCUGAACUGUUCGGGCUGCGGGGCGGAACUGCACUGCCAGGACCCCGGCUUGCCCGGCUACCUGCCCAGCGAGAAAUUCAGCGCGGCGGCGCAGACCGAAGACGGGCUGGCGCGGACGGUGUGCCAGCGCUGCUGGCUGCUGGUUCAUCACCGGCGCGCCCUGCGUCUGCAGGUGAGCCACGAGCAGUACUUGGAGCUGGUGAGCGCCGCACUGCGGCGGCCCGAGCCCUCCCUGGUGCUCUACAUGGUGGACCUCCUCGAUCUGCCGGACAACUUGCUGCCUCACCUGCCCGCGAUGGUGGGCCCCAAGCAGCUGAUCGUGCUAGGAAACAAGGUGGACCUGCUGCCCCAGGAUACUCCUGGUUACCGGCAGCGGCUCCGGGAGCGACUGUGGGACGAUUGUGCCCGCGCCGGGCUCCUGCCGCCCCCUGGCUACCGAAGGCCACAACAUCCCAGCAGGGACCGGCCUAGGGACGGGGAGGAGAAUGCGACUCCUUCGACCAAGUCCCGCACGGUGCUCAGGGACGUGCGGCUCAUCAGCGCCAAGACUGGCUAUGGAGUCGAAGAAUUGAUCUCCGUGCUCCAGCGCUCCUGGCGCUACCGUGGCGACGUCUACUUGGUUGGCGCCACCAACACUGGCAAGUCCACUCUCUUCAACACGCUCUUGGAGUCAGAUUACUGCAUCGCCAAGGGUGCUGAGGCUAUCGACAGGGCCACCAUCUCCCCUUGGCCUGGUACUACCUUAAAUCUCCUGAAGUUUCCUAUCUGUAACCCAACCCCUUACAGAAUGUUUCAAAGGCAAAAAAGGCUUGAAAGAAAUGCAUCUGAAGUGGAAAAAGAUCUUAGCCAGCAAGAACAAAACCAACUUAAUGUCUUGAAAAAGCAUGGUUAUGUAGUAGGAAGAGUUGGAAGAACAUUCUUGUAUUCAGAAGAGCAGAAGGAUGAAGCUACCUUCGAGUUUGAUGCUGAUUCACUUGCCUUUGACAUGGGAAAUGAACCUCUUACAGUUGCAGCUAAACCCACCAAACGAGUAGAAUUAACCCCACAAGAUGUGAAAGAUGCCCACUGGUUUUACGACACCCCUGGAAUUUCAAAAGAAAAUUGUAUUUUAAAUCUUCUAACAGAAAAAGAAGUAAAUGUUGUUUUGCCAACACACUCCAUUGUUCCAAGAACUUUCGUGCUUAAACCAGGAAUGGUUCUAUUUUUGGGUGCCAUAGGCCGCAUAGAUUUUCUGCAGAAGUUUAUUAUUAUUAUGAUGAUGAUGAUGAUGAUGAUGAUGAUGUAUCAACAAGCCUAUAGAAGGAAUCAUAGUCCCAUAAACAGGGGAGUCAGUCAGCUUGGUUUACAGUUGUGGCUUCAAACUUCCUUCCCGUGCACAUUACUUCCUUGGACAGGGCAGACACUGUGUAUCAGAAGCAUGCGGGUCAUACAUUACUCAAGGUUCCAAUGGGUGGAGAAGAAAGAAUGGCAGGAUUUCCUCCUCUUGUUGCUGAAGACAUUACAUUAGACGAAGGACCUGGGGAAUCUGAAGCAGUGGCUGAUAUCAAGUUCUCCUCUGCAGGUCACCUGCUGCAUCAGGACAGAAUGUGAUCCAGUUGUUUUGAUGCUUUGCAUAGCUGAAGAGGUUUUUCCAACUCCCUCUCCCUGUUCUCUCAACCCCAGAGAAAAGCAUAAGCUUUUAACAUAUAACUCAACUACUUACUUCCAUUAACAAAGGAAGCAGAACCUUGUUAAGAAUAUGGAUUACACUUACUCUUGGGUUUCAUUUUCUUCUGAGUUCCAUUAAAUACAGUAAAAUCCUUAAAACAGUGCCCUGACAUUCAGCGAACAUUCAAUGUAGCUCAACUUAUUUUCCCUUCAAUGCAUCUUUUUUCCAAUUAUGAGUCAAAAUUUACUAACAUCAGUCCUGCUGAGACUGGACAUGUAUAUUAAAAAUGUUAAGGGGGCCUAUGGUUGGGAAAAAAUUACUACAUAAAAUCUCAUGAAUUGUCUGCAGGUUGUUUCUCGCCUACCUUCCCCUUCACCUCCCAGAAACCAGAUUAUAGGAGGACAGGCUUUGGUCUACUACCCACUGCAUUGUUUACUCCAAAUAUUUCCACAGCCUUUUUACCUACUGUGGGUUAUUUGGGGGAAAGAUUUUGAAAAUUAUUAAUACACCUCCAAUUCCAG
This is a non-coding RNA of Vicugna pacos (alpaca), 2718 nucleotides long. The record is from RefSeq and is a predicted model, not a curated record. NCBI's taxonomy places the organism in Eukaryota, Metazoa, Chordata, Mammalia, Artiodactyla, Camelidae.